AGUGAACGCUGGCGGUAGGCCUAACACAUGCAAGUCGAACGGCAGCACAGUAAGAGCUUGCUCUUACGGGUGGCGAGUGGCGGACGGGUGAGGAAUACAUCGGAAUCUACUUUUUCGUGGGGGAUAACGUAGGGAAACUUACGCUAAUACCGCAUACGACCUACGGGUGAAAGCAGGGGAUCUUCGGACCUUGCGCGAUUGAAUGAGCCGAUGUCGGAUUAGCUAGUUGGCGGGGUAAAGGCCCACCAAGGCGACGAUCCGUAGCUGGUCUGAGAGGAUGAUCAGCCACACUGGAACUGAGACACGGUCCAGACUCCUACGGGAGGCAGCAGUGGGGAAUAUUGGACAAUGGGCGAAAGCCUGAUGCAGCCAUGCCGCGUGGGUGAAGAAGGCCUUCGGAUUGUAAAGCCCUUUUAUUGGGAAAGAAAAGCAGCAGGUUAAACCCCCGCUGUUCUGACGGUACCCAAAGAAUAAGCACCGGCUAACUUCGUG
Molecule: ribosomal RNA, 492 nt
Filed under: uncultured bacterium
Lineage: Bacteria
Description: partial 16S ribosomal RNA
Rfam family: Bacterial small subunit ribosomal RNA
Source: RNAcentral